UCCAACAUUCAGCCCACUAACAAGAUCCCAGGGACCUAUAUUCACGCUUGUGUGGAUUCCACCUUCCAGUCAAAACCCUCUUUCAUUGAAAUGCAGCAUCUGCAUGGCCUGAACGGCCUGGAAGACGAAGGCCCAACCCCCAGGUCUUGGUAACACGCUGCUAUCACGUUGCCACCAUAUGCUGUUACCAGCUGACAUCUGCUGACACAUGUUCUCACCAAUAAGCAACCAUGUUGUUUAUUUUUAGAGCCCUCUCCACAGCCUCACAGAGAGAAAGUUCCCUCACAUCACCCGUCAGCAAAGACAGGAAGCUACAGACUGGGUAUAAACUGUUUGUCACAAGAUCAGCAAGGCACACAACAUCUUCUCUUUCAGAUCUGACCUCUAAAAAGAGGUGCUGAAAGUUAUCUUCAAUAAAAAUCUCAAGGAAGGGAACCAGAGACAGGCAGGGUACGCAAAGCAUCGCUUGGUUAGCAAUGCUUUCUCUUCUGACUAGGGACCUGUGCAUUUCUUGGGGGGAUUUCACUCCUUUUCCUGGGAAACAGCACCUUCUUCAGGCCAGUGGGUGUUGUGGUGCCAAAGAGGGAUGCUUCUAUUACCGGAAUCCAGAUCCCUGCAAUCGCCCCAGGUCACCGGGGUCAAACGAAGUCUGUGGGGAAACAAGGCAAGCUAACUGUCGUCAUUUGUCGUUUCAAACUUGCAGCCCUCAGUGGAAUUCUUCUGAAAUAUUCCUAUCUACAAGACAAACCAGCACCUGCCACCUAAUUCCAUGGAGGAGAAAAGCAAAAGUUGAGUAGGUGAAACAGCCUUCGCUCAGGAGUGGGUUGGUUCACAGAUGUGACCAGUGAACUCUACUAACACGCUUAACGACCUAAGGUUUGAUAUUCCGGGGAGGUACAAAUGAAUGACUAAGUCACUCUUCAGAUCAAAAUGACUGUGUAAUAGACAUAUCUCAGGGUGAGAACUGCUGCCUUAGAACCUGAGGUGACAGCCAUAAUCCUCCUUUGGUUCUGCCCGGCUACUUCGGGGUAAAAGCUCCUACCUCUGUUUCUCUCUUCUUAACUUCCAGAGCCCCAGAUGCUAAGGUGUGAACUUGGAUGUAGAAACACUUCCCCAGCCGAAAACCCUGACAGACCUCCAAGUGGGCAGUUCCUUUACCAAAUCAUCCAUCUUCUACAAAGAAAUGUCCUCAGUCUGUGAUUUUCCUUUUAUUUUCUCCUUCUAAAGUCGAAUCAGAAUAAGUCACCCACCUUCCCCCCGGCCGCCAGCCCCCAUUUUGGCCUUUCUCAGCCAGCAACUGAGUUAUGAGUUUAUUAUAAAGCAAGAAGAAACAACUUCAAUGGCGUGGUCAUUAAGUUGUCAAAGCAGAGGGAAAAUGAGAUUAAGUCAAUGGAUAGGGAAAUAAAUGACCCUAUAAGAAUAAAACCCCCCAGUGGAAGGAAUGACAAAGUGACCGCUACAUGUGGUCUAGAGAGAAUAAUCCCUGAUGAAUUUGGUCUAAGAAGUGUUGAAUUGCCAAUACUGAAAUGACUCCAAAACUUAAAAAUUAAAUUUCCCAGAAAAUUCCCAUUUAUGGGCAAUAAUAUAUUUUAGCGCUCUUAAAAUGCAUGAAAAAAUAUGGUCUUCUCUUUUAGAUAGUGCUUCCCCUGAGAUCUGCAAAGACCAGUGGACUUCUGAUCGUUUCAAUGUCUUUCUCAAAACUGAACUGUGCAUUCUCGUUCACGAGCUGAAGUAACAAAUAAGGAUUCUUACAACAGCCUGAAGUUAUGAAUGAGCAGUUAUUUGUGAACUAGCUUGUCAAGACAGAUGUGGUAUUUGUCAGUGUGGUGUGGGUUAGAUAGCAAAAGCCAAAUGAACGGAGCGCCAAGGUCAAAGUCACAACAUUUUUCUUUUUCUUCCUUGAGGCUGGAAAGAUGCUACAGCACUUCCUGAAACAAACAUCUCCAAAAAAGCAGCCUGACUCUCCAACAGCUGCCCCAUGACUCUCCUUUCAGAAACACCACGUCUCUCCCUCAGGAACGUCCUGCUUCCUAAUUACUGACAUGGAGGCCGCGAGGAAGGCCCGAAGGGAGAGUGACAGUCUCUCUGUGGACAGAGAUGUGUGCAACAUGCCAGUGUGAGAGCAAACAGCUGCCUGGGGAGGUUGGAAAUGCAUUUGAACUAUUUUCAGAAGGUCUGGGCUUUGUAACAUCCAGAAAGCAUUUUCCAUUUGCUUUCAGUUCCUCAAGUUGUUGUGAUUAAAGGAACAUCUAAGCCCCACAUUUUUGACUUAUCAGGCAGAACCAAAUCCAAGGGCUCAUUUUUGAGAAUGAAGGGAUGGGGGCUGGUCCACACAGAAGAGCUUUCUGGGCACCAUCAGGCUUUCCCUCCUUCUCACAGACGCUAAAUCCAGUAAACUCGAUUCCUCUUGGAUGGCAACGUCUUCUCAUACCAACGAAGUGGUUUUACUCGGUCGCCCCAGGAAAGCCAGGAUGCUACCCCACGCGGAGAGCAUUUUGCUCUGUUAACAGCUACCCUGGGCCUAGUACGGCCUCUCCUCUCUGACAUCACCUCCUAAGUUUUCGUUUCCUCCUCAAACCCUUGGUGGUGUAUCCUCCACUACCCUCUCCCCUUCCUCCCAUCCAUCCACCUCUGGGAGACUUCCACCCCCUAAUGGCAUUUUGCUGCUAAAGUCUGUUUUUAAAUGAGUCGCCUGACAGCGAAGAAACUGCUGUGGCUGGUGUCUGGUCAUGGAGAUGCAGGGAGGUCCAAACGUCCUGGCUUCCUUCUCAACAGAGCCUCUCCCCAGGGGAGCGGGUGAGACAGGGGGCCUGGGAGGAGGGGCCGCGCCAGCCCCGAGGCACGUUGCCCACAAGGCCCUUCUGCAUGUUAGCCUCUUCUGAGCAAUACCCUCCCCCCAUCCUUUGUUGGAUUUCAGCCUUUAAGGCCCAGAAAGAUAAAGAGGUGAGUGCUACGUGACUCACACGUGUACUCAGAGAGAUCCGUUAAAAUCACUUUAAACAUUUUUUUCCCUGGAAACGUAAAGGCCCUUUUUAACAACUGGUAACAUCCUGAGAUGUCAAAAAAAAAAAAAAAAUCUAAACUGGAUAUUAACGCACUGAGUAUAUGCACAGCAAGACACUCCAGCUGGGAGGAAUCCAUGAUGCGGACCUCCUGCUUCGGGUGCCAGAGGUGCGACGACCAGUCGGAGGCUCUUAAAGUUUACUAAAUAGAAACGUUUUCUGAGGGCAGAUAUCACGCUCCCACUUAAUUUUAUUUGCCACGUGCUUCUAGGACAUAGCACUCUGCUACACGCACACGGACCGCUAUUCUCCCAAUCCACAAAUAUUUAUGUGACUUCACUGACUUUACAUAUUUUCAUCCCUCUAAAAUCCUGACGCCCUCUUAGAAUCAAUGGCACGUUACAAUUAAUUGGCAAUGACAUUUCUUGUUAAGUGGCAGAUGAAAAAUGGUGCACUGUAAAAUCAAUAGCGUUUGAGAUUCAGUGAAUGACAGCUGCCGGGUAAGGCAAGCCUAUGACGUGCCAGAAGCAGCUGCACUCGGCCUUUCUUCGCACAUCAUCAUCCAUCGUCUACAACCCUAGGGGGCAGAUAUCAUCUUCUUCAUCGUUACAAGUGAACACACUGAGAUCAGCUUAAGUGCAGGGGCUUCGGCCUGGUCACCAAGCCAGCGACGGCAGAGUGAGAUCUGAAUUCAGCAGGAAGCAACUUAAAUGUCAACGCGGCAGAUUUCUUUUCUUUCUUUUUUUUUUUUUUUAACGAGGCAGAUUUAAUAACUUGCACGGAGACAGCCAAGUUGCUAACCCAAACAAGACCACAUUUUAACAACUGCCAUUGGCCUGGAGUAGGACUUCUUGUCUUUGAUGCUUCCCCUUCCCUUUCAGCCUCUGAGAUUCCUCUGGUACAAUUCCCUUUUAUUUAUUCUCUUUCUUUGACUUCUUGGCGCUGUCUGGCUCUCAAGUCUGUGCUCACUGCGCAAGACCAUCCUGCCUUCCUCAAUAAAUUAAUUUUCUGCGAGAGACAAGACGAAUCACCUCUCAAUCAAAUUUAUAAAAAUUGGAAGAAAACGGUUGCAGUUCAAGAUCAAGACCAGGAGACCUGAGAAAUCACAAUUUUUGUAUCAACCAAGUGCAGAGAUAAAAGUGGAAGAAUGUGUUAGAGGCGAGAAGAGAGACCCAGGGUGGUAGGAGAGGCUUCAGAAGUAUAUUUCCUUCUGGAGGGAAAGAAUGCAGAGCUUCUAUGAAUGUAAUUCCUGCCAGGUGAGGAGAGCCACCACCCUUUCAUGCAGGGACUGUAUCAUUUUGCAAGAGGGCAGGAAAAGUCAUGCUCUCCAUUUCCUGGUCUCUAUUUGGGGCCUCUAUUACUUGUGGUACCUAAAAGUCUGACUUCCAGUAAGACAUCGCUGAUAGAAAUAGUUAUAGCCAUGUCCUCAUACGUCACAGGGAAAAAUACCAGUCCGGACCGUAUAGGGUCACUUUUGCGUGUGAAAUAAGUGCGCGCAUGUAAAAUAUUUAAAACUCUGCUUGGCACGUAGUAUGUACCCGAUGAGGGUUAGCUUUCAUCAUCCUCAUUAUCGCCAUCAUUUUCAUUUUUAUCUGCAAAACUGGAAACAGGAAAUGAAUGGUUCUGAGAAGCCCGUGUUGCCUUCAGCACAGGGACAAGAUCCAUCAGGAACAUUGUCCCCGGUAACGGAGGUGAGUAGAUUUCUGUCUCCAUAUCUCCUGGCCCUAAUGCUUUGAACUCUUGAUCCUUCUGGUAACUCAAUCUUAGUCUCUAAAGGGAAACGCUCAUUCCUUUAUUAAGCAUUGACUGAGCAACAAUCACGCGCUGUAAGAACAUAGAUAAGUCAGGGUGGGCUCCUGUUCUGAGGCAGUUUACAAACCGAUGAAGAGGACAGGUCAGGACACAGCUAGAUUUUACCUACAGCAAAAGAAAAGAGGCUGAGAUAGAGAUGAAUGUCGGUAUUGUGGGAGUGCAGAGGAAGAGCUACUUAAAUAGGACAAAGAACAUCAACAAAGGUUUCAUAAGGAGAUGGUACUGACUAAACCUCGAAGGACAUGUAAAGGUGUUAAAAGAUGGACCUCUAAGUGGAAGAAAUGACAUAAACAAAGGGCUGGAGGCACAGAAAUAAAGGGCCCAUUUGGGUAAAGGCAAAGAGGGUGAUCUGGCUGGAGUGUAGUUUCCUUGGGGGGAUUUAGUUGGGGGGCUGCUGAGCAAGGAGGAGGGGCCUGACCCUGAAAGGUCUUGGAUAUUAUCUAAGACAUCUGAGAUCCUACCUACGAAGCCUAAAUUCUCAAGGCCUCCCUAUAUGAGGAUUAGAGAGUGCCGGGCAUGCUGGAUUACCAGCCCUGCCAGUCUCUGUUCUCUUAGGUGGCAAAGGUCACCUAAGGACCAAUCCGGGUGAGCCAGGGAAACAGAUCCACUGAGUGGAGCUUACUAGGAAAUGAAUGAGAUGUUGGUCCCGAGACAUCCGGGGCUGGUGGGAGCGGUCCCCAGAGCAUCACUUUUAAUCAUAUUGGAAUAUCUCUAAAAUAUCUCCUUUUCAUAUCUCAUAAUCAAUGGCACGUUAUAGUCAAUUGUCAGUGAUAUUUUUUUCUCUGCGGCACAUAAAAUAACAGGGCACCUUAAAAUCAAUGGUGUCUGAGAAUCAAUGAUUAAUAGCUGGCAUGCAAAGAAGGUCUACUAAGUGCCAGAAGCAGAGCUCAGGACUUCUUUACACAGGUCAUGGUCAGUCCUUUGCAACCCUAGGAAGCCAGCAUCUCCUUCAUCUUUACAAGUGAAGGCACGGAGCCAUGGUUGAAUGAAGUUCACCACCCUACACACAGAUAUUCCAGAAGAGAGAAGAACAAGAAGGCAAUUUAGAGCCUGUGGGGAAGUGGUCAAGGGGGAGUGCUGAUGCAGAGUCAAGGCCACCAAGCCAAUCCGGAAGCAAGGUGGUGGUCACAGUGCAGCAGAGUUCUAACCUAUCAGAGGUUAGAAAAGAAAACAAAACCAAUGACAACCACCAAAACCCACUUGUGACUGCAGCAUGAGGCGAAUUUCUCCUAAACACAGGAUGGAAACAAGCUUUUCAGUCUACACAAACCCAUCAGAGAAUCCCUAGCAUGUGAUUAAAUUGAAACUACCUGGGGAACACUGAAUUCCUAGGUUAAAAAGUAUCUUUGUUUAAAAAAAUAUUAAAAAUCCAAAGCACACCAUAUGGUUUCAAAAUGACAAUGGAAACGUUUGUUUAUCUCAGCCUGAGGCACAUUUCAUCAAGCUGUUCAGAAUCUGCAAAGUGGAUCCACCCUUCGGCAGUCGGGCUGCCUAAGGAGAUCGAGCACAUCUGGCAAAUCCACAUCCUCUCUCCAGGAUCCCCCAGGACCGGAAAUGCUACAUCAAGAGAGCUGACAGGGCUGUUUCCAGAGCUCUUCCCUGCAGGCUCUUUGCUCCCGGCUCACCUUAAUACUGAACCUGUAAAGGGCUGGGGGUGGCGGCGGGGAGGGAGGAGUCCCCCCAGAAUCUCACCUCGGUGGUCAGCUUGUACGUCUCUCCCAGGGCCAGGCUCUUCCACUCUAUUUUCCCUAACCUUCUAAAAAUGCAGCUUGAAGUGUGUUGUAAUCUCUGGGCAAAGGCCUAGGAGUCAGUGACCUCCUUUGUUCUAACCCAGAUUUGAUAUGGGAUCAACAGUGAGUCAUUAGCCCUUUUCUCACAUCUCAGUUUCCUCUAGGAAACAGGAUCUGUCAUUCUUUCAUAUCUUUAUAUAUGAAAGAUGCUGUGACUGGGUUACAUCAGCAUCCCUUCACCAGGGAGAAGGCAUCGUUCAAAAAGUGCAGCUCCUUGAGUAGACCCCAGGGGUCGCUGUGGAGACACAGAAGGCUCCCGGAGCCUCUGCCAGGUCAGCUGGUCCCCAUCUACCCCUCCAGCUUCACAAAACCCAGCCUCCAUCCAGUGGGGACUCCUCAGGAGAGGAGACCAGCCUCCCUUGGCAACAAAGACAGCCCAACUGCUUCAGUUACAACCAGUAUAUCUCUUUGAGGAGUUUUCCUAAACUUUGAAUAGUAAAAGAAAGAAAAGAGAGAAGAUCCUGGAAGAGAAUGUAGCCUAAAGUUAAAUGCGACCACAAUUAGGCACUAGAGUUAGUACAAGCAAUGAUGCAAUACAAGUGGGGGAAUUAAAGUUGGGUCUGCUGUGUAUUAAUAACUCAGUCAUUGGGGAAGUCUAGGGAAGGGGUUCAAGUCUGUUUCUCUCUCUCUCUGUGUCCCUCUUUCUCACACACACACAGAGAAUCCUCUCUCUCUCUCUCUCUGUGUGUGUGUGUGUGUGUGUGUGUGUGUGUGUGUGUGUGUGUGUCUCUCUUUCUCACACAUCCACAGAGAAUCUGAAAAAUAAAAUCCCUAUCACUUUGCUGUAUACCUGAAACUAACACAAUAUUGUAAAUCAACUAUAGUGCAAUUUAAGAAACAGAAAAAAAAAUCCCUGAACAUCAAGCAAAACUAGUACUAUGUUCCAGCAACUGCUAAUAUUUUCCUUCAUCGGGCAAUUGGUUGAUAGUCCAGCAAUGUGUACACAGAAAGAUAUAUCCAUGAAUAGAAGGUUAAGUUGCAUCCCCCCGAAACCAUAGUGCUAUUGGGUAUUCUUUCUAUCGUCCUCAAUUUCACUUGGAAAAUUACAGGGGAAAUAGAAAAAGAGAUUGCAUGGUAUUAAAUGUUUAGCAUUUAUGUGAAACAAUUACAAAGGAAACCUCACCGUAAUGUCUCAGGCUGUAUAUUUUAGUUUAUCUAAUUCACUACGACAGAGUAAACCAACAUGAUUAUUUACUUUUUUCUGUUGCCGAGCUCGGAGAUUCCACUCUUCCUUAACAUGAGCUGCUUAUUUUCCUUGCAAGGAAAAUCCACAGUAAUCCCUCACUUCUUUUUUCUCUGUCUUGACUAACAUCACAUUGCUGCUGACUGAAGUUACAGAUGGGUGGAGCGACACCCUUACUUAAGCUAAAUGCAUGGGAACUUUUGAUGCCUCUAAUUUAGGCCCUUUAAGAUCGUAACAAUAAAGUAGACACCAUACCAGAGAGCCAAAUUAAUAGUCCCACUUACUUUAGAAAACUUUCUGAUUAUCUUUCUAUUCCAUGUUAAUGUCCUUUUGAUGAUAAAGGUGUUUUACUUUCAGAUUAUUGCUUUGGAAAUGGUACUACUAGCAGAAUUCAGCAACUGCAAAUAAAUCCCAGGGUUACCGGCUUUCUCCACGUGGGGAUUACUGACAUUUGGAGCUGGAUAAUUCUUUGAUGUAUGGGGGUGGCGGGUGGAAAAGGGACCUUUCCUGUGCAUUCUAGAAUGGGGAGCAACACCCCUGGCCCUUCCACUCCCAGUCACGACAACCCAAAAUGUCUCCAGACGUUGCCAAAUAUUCCCUGAGGGUGUGUGGGCGGGGGAAGGGACAAAAUCACCACAGUUAGAACCACAGCACGUGCCUGAUCUGUUACAUGGAAAAGAGAGGGGAAAGAAAGAAAAUAAAACUUUUUGUCUCUUCCUUUUUUUCUGACUGCCGAAGGGUCUACAUAUUUUAAUUGUUUAUCAUUUGGAUUCUUACUCUGUUAUGUGGAAUCACUCUUUCUAAACUUCUAAAGCCCUGUACAGUGUCUUUUGAAAAGAUGUGCUUGAAGUUCAAGUGGAUUAUCAAAAGGACGAGAAGUCCACUAAUUCCCACUGGGUAAAGUAUGGGUAAACCUUAGCAUAACUCCACUUUGAGCCUUAAACUAACAGCAUGUGAAAAGAUCAAUACGAAUAAAUUCAAAACUAAUCAGAUCCCUUCUUCAAAUGUUGACACAGUAUUAUUUAUAUCCCAUAAAUACCUUCUUGACUAAAAUUCAUCCUAGGAGAUUGGCACCUGGCCAGUUCUAUUCAUAUUUACUGUAUUUAUAUAGUACGCUGGGCCAAGGAUAAUAUUUAAGACAAAAAAUGCCUGCAGGCAUAUAUAAUAUCUCUUAUAUUUUUACUUUUAAAACUCCACAUUGCUAAAAACAUUUCGUCUGAACUGUAUAAAAUGUCCUGCAAAGGGCUACCAACAAUCUGUAACGAUAUAUAGCUCAUUGAGUAUGCUUAGAGCAUAUUUGUAAUAUUUGAGCUGAAGUCACUCCCUGAACGCUAAUAAGUUGGUGGUAAAACAUGAACCAGUGAUCUUUCCCAUGCCUUCAUCUCUGAGGCUUAUGACCUACUGCGGAUUCCCUUCAAGAAAUGACAGGCACACUUCCUCCCCACCAUCGCUUCAGGGAGGACCUAGUUAAAAGUUAGGCAGAAAGGUCCUAAAGAGGUCCUUUUCCUAAAGGAAAGCUGGUAUGUAAGCCAAUGCUGUCCUUUCAGUUUGCCCUUUAAAAAUAUGGUGGAGUGAUUUUUUUUUUUCUUUUCUUCCUUUUUUUUGGAAGGGUUCACUAUAUUCCAGUAUAACUAGAAAGUACUGGAAAAUCAGUUAACCUACUUUCUAUAAAAUUAUCCACAGUCCUAGCACAGUAGUAUCAAAUCUGCUAUUAAUAAGCCUUUCUACUCCUAAGCUUCCUUUAAGGCUUUAAGAAGCCUGUACUCUUUGUAGGAAGACUGAUCGUUUACAUUUUAUCCUGCACUGAUCAGAGGCUUUCAUUUCUUUGGUAGCUGGGAGAGGAAGCAGAAAGGAAUCCACACACCCACCUGACAUGCCAACCUCUGAAAUCCUAAUAACUUGAGAAUUUUUUCCAAUUUGGUGAUGAUGAUAAUCUUGCAUGAGAUCACCUCGGUUCUUUAGACUGAAGAGUGCUUGAAAGACCAAAGAAUGAACACCCUCUUGGGUAAUCUGCUCUCUCCACACCUAUCUCAUGAAGGGAUCAGACCUCCUCUCUGUUAUGAAAGUGCCAGCAAUUCAUGAGAGCUGUUGCAGGAUCUCCUGCCUCAGCUCUGCUCUUAAACCAGAAGAGGUGAUGCUGCAGCCAAACAGAGGUCGCCAGGAAGCCUGGGGUUGGAUACUUCAGCUGACAAUCUGAGACCAUCAAAUACAAGACAUGGCAAGCCCCGGAACUACGACUUGUCAAACUAAAUAUAAAUAUUCAACAAGAAAAGCACCACCCUGCAAUUAGGACCUCUAGGAUAAAAUUACCAAGAUGGCCAUAUUAUCUCUGUAGGCAAGACACAGAGACGUUGUGAAGGCAGCCAGGGAGUAUAUAGGGCAUGGAAAGGGGAGGAGAGAGAUGGGCAACCAAUGAAAAGUGUACGACUUGGGAUUUGGAAUAGGCAAAUGUUGGAGCUCUUUUUUUUUUUUUCUUUUUCUUCUUCCUGGUAUUUAACCCUCUCAGGUAUCAAUAUAUGCUUCUUCUUCUUUUCUUUUUUUAAAGAACUUGGAAAUCAUUCUAAGCUAACUGCCCUCUUCCCUUCCCCUCAAAGAACUCUUAACAAUAAAUCAUUCACUCCCGUUGCUACUGUAUGCCAGCUGGUUUUCAGGACACUGCCCUCAGAGAAGCCAGUUUAAAAAAAAAAAAAAAAUCGGCUGUCUUCUACGCUGAGAUUUAGGAAUGCAACGAAGUGACUGCAGGAACCCUAUGAAAGGGCAAGGAACACCGGGCUCAAGAGUGAGAAAGAUAAACGAUAAACGCAUAAGAAAAAGGAUCUGCUACACCGGCGAUUUUAAGAAGGCAGGUUUGAGUGAAUUGUGAAAAAAAAUAACGUGAAGGAAAAACCCUUUUAAACGUAGUCAGCAACGAAACUGUCCUUUCUACCAUUCCAGGUGAAAUCAAAAGGGGACGUGGUUACAAGAUCUCGCCUUGGGGGGCAUGUAAACACCUCGCCGAGGCAGUAGAUUCAAGAAUUGAGGGGUUGGAGGUAGGUUUUUGGAGGGGUCUCCAGAUCGGGUUUUGUCUUGGCGAUGCUGACAUUUUUCGGGGAGUUAGAGACAAUAGGGAAGGCUUGGGGAGUCAGCUGAUAGGUCGGCACGGAAAGGGGCGCCUUCCGGAGAGGCUAGUUUUGAGCCACUUUUUUUUUUUUUUAACCCCUCGUGCACCAAUUCGGCGGGCUUCAGGCCAAUCGGAGCAAAGAAAACAAACCCACCAAGGUUUCCCGGUUUAACGCGGCCCCAGGGAGCGCCUCCGAGUUUGACAGAGGAGGGCUGACUCCUAGCCGGUGGCCGAGUCGAGAAUUCCAGGGAAGAGAAAAAAAGAGAAAAACGCCUUAUAAAAGACGGGGGCGCUGGGGGAAGGGAGAAAUGGAGAAAAUUAAAAGUCGCAAGUCCGCGUUUUAAAGCCUAACGUCCUCAAGCACACGACUGGUGGGUGGGACGGAGGACCGGAGCAGGGGAAGGAGGGAGCUGGGACCCGGAGAGGGCAGGGCGAUCCCUGGAGUGGCUGCGGUUCUGGAAGCCUCGGGCAGCGCUAAGCCCCGGGGAGUGGGAGCGGGGAGCGGU
This is a long non-coding RNA of Physeter macrocephalus (sperm whale), 11393 nucleotides long. RefSeq lists it as uncharacterized. The record is from RefSeq and is a predicted model, not a curated record. NCBI's taxonomy places the organism in Eukaryota, Metazoa, Chordata, Mammalia, Artiodactyla, Physeteridae. The transcript has 3 exons.